Molecule: ribosomal RNA, 660 nt
Filed under: uncultured bacterium
Lineage: Bacteria
Description: bacterial SSU rRNA
Rfam family: Bacterial small subunit ribosomal RNA
Source: RNAcentral
GGCUGCCUUACCAUGCAAGUCGAACGGUAGAGUAGCAAUACUUGAGAGUGGCGAACGGGUGAGUAAUAUAUCGGAACGUGCCCAAUCGUGGGGGAUAACGUAAAGAAAUUUACGCUAAUACCGCAUACGAUCUAAGGAUGAAAGCGGGGGACUCGGCAACGAGCCUCGCGCGAUUGGAGCGGCUGAUAUCAAAUUAGCUUGUUGGUGAGGUAAAAGCUCACCAAGGCGACAAUCUGUAGCUGGUUUGAAAGAACGACCAGCCACACUGGGACUGAGACACGGCCCAAACUCCUACGGGAGGCAGCAGUGGGGAAUUUUGGACAAUGGGCGAAAGCCUGAUCCAGCAAUGCCGCGUGUGGGAAGAAGGCCUUCGGGUUGUAAACCACUUUUGUACGGAACGAAACGGUCUGCCCUAAUACGGUGGGCUAAUGACGGUACCGUAAGAAUAAGCACCGGCUAACUACGUGCCAGCAGCCGCGGUAAUACGUAGGGUGCGAGCGUUAAUCGGAAUUACUGGGCGUAAAGCGUGCGCAGGCGGUUAUAUAAGACAGUUGUGAAAUCCCCGGGCUCAACCUGGGAAUUGCAUCUGUGACUGUAUAGCUAGAGUACGGUAGAGGGGGAUGGAAUUCCGCGUGUAGCAGUGAAAUGCGUAGAUAUGCG